RNAcentral lists this long non-coding RNA (596 nucleotides) under Equus caballus (horse). Its description in RNAcentral is "lncRNA (ENSECAG00000050014.1)". The record is from RNAcentral. Lineage: Eukaryota; Metazoa; Chordata; Mammalia; Perissodactyla; Equidae.
GGUAGGCGUGGGAGGUUGGAUGGAGGAAGAAAGAGUCUCCUUCAUUUUAGGAGAUCUAUUGCAUUUAGUCCCCAUGGAUGGAUGGCUUGAUUUUCAGUGAGGACUUCCAUAACUCAGUUGUCCUCUCUAGCUGGGGAACUGGGAGGAGGUGGGCAUUUCAGAGAACACAGUAGCUGGAGUACCAGACAACAGCAUGGAACAAGCAGAAGCCCUGGCAGCUCCAUCCAGAACUUGCCGUGUUCCUGCUGCCCAUCUCGGGGUUUGCCAGGAGAAGUCUGCUGGUCCAGGGACCACCGACCUGCGUUCCCAUCGCUCAUCGAACCCGAUGAACUUUCCCAGUCUCAAGGAAUUCUGACAAAGACUUUUUCUCCAAGACUCCAAAGCGAUAAUGUAUUACCUUUAAGCAGCACAGCAAACCCCUUCCGGUCCUUCCAAGUCUUCGCGUUUUCUUCCUCCCCUUCCCCACCUUGAUCUCCCAAGGCCCCGCGUCAGCCGACCGCGUCUGCGGACCGCCCGUUACAGAAAUCAUUUCCCACCCUGCCCCCAACGGCAUCACACACCUGACCAGCUGGAAGAACCUAGAAGAAUAGAGGAAA